CCUCAUGGCCUUUAUGUCCAGGGCUACACACGUGCUACAAUGGACGGUACAGAGGGUCGCAAUAUCGCGAGAUGGAGCCAAUCCCAAAAAGCCGUUCCCAGUUCGGAUUGGAGUCUGCAACUCGACUCCAUGAAGUUGGAAUCGCUAGUAAUCGCGGAUCAGCAUGCCGCGGUGAAUACGUUCCCGGGCCUU
RNAcentral lists this ribosomal RNA (192 nucleotides) under uncultured Desulfobacteraceae bacterium. RNAcentral describes it as "partial 16S ribosomal RNA". It matches the Rfam family "Bacterial small subunit ribosomal RNA", at positions 1191 to 1382 of the family's 1533-position model. The record is from RNAcentral. Lineage: Bacteria; Pseudomonadati; Thermodesulfobacteriota; Desulfobacteria; Desulfobacterales; Desulfobacteraceae.